This 250-nucleotide ribosomal RNA is filed under the name uncultured bacterium. RNAcentral describes it as "partial 16S ribosomal RNA". It matches the Rfam family "Bacterial small subunit ribosomal RNA", at positions 524 to 773 of the family's 1533-position model. The record is from RNAcentral.
GACGAAGGUGGCAAGCGUUAUUCGGAUUUACUGGGCAUAAAGCGCGCGUAGGCGGCUUGGCAAGUCGGGGGUGAAAGCCCGCAGCUCAACUGCGGAACUGCCUUCGAUACUGCCGGGCUUGAGGGCGGGAGGGGUGAUUGGAACUCCAGGUGUAGCGGUGAAAUGCGUAGAUAUCUGGAGGAACACCGGAGGCGAAGGCGAAUCACUGGACCGCUUCUGACGCUGAGGCGCGAAAGCUAGGGGAGCAAAC